Molecule: ribosomal RNA, 1020 nt
Filed under: Rhodotorula graminis
Lineage: Eukaryota; Fungi; Basidiomycota; Microbotryomycetes; Sporidiobolales; Sporidiobolaceae
Description: partial large subunit ribosomal RNA
Rfam family: Eukaryotic large subunit ribosomal RNA
Source: RNAcentral
AGGAUUCCCCUAGUAGCGGCGAGCGAAGCGGGAAGAGCUCAAAUUUAUAAUCUGGCACCUUCGGUGUCCGAGUUGUAAUCUCUAGAAGUGUUUUCCGCGUUGGACCGCACACAAGUCUGUUGGAAUACAGCGGCAUAGUGGUGAAACCCCCGUAUAUGGUGCGGACGCCCAGCGCUUUGUGAUACACUUUCAAUGAGUCGAGUUGUUUGGGAAUGCAGCUCAAAUUGGGUGGUAAAUUCCAUCUAAAGCUAAAUAUUGGCGAGAGACCGAUAGCGAACAAGUACCGUGAGGGAAAGAUGAAAAGCACUUUGGAAAGAGAGUUAACAGUACGUGAAAUUGUUGGAAGGGAAACGCUUGAAGUCAGACUUGCUUGCCGGAGCUUGCUUCGGUUUGCAGGCCAGCAUCAGUUUUCCGGGGUGGAUAAUGACGGUUUGAAGGUAGCAGUCUCGGCUGUGUUAUAGCUUUCCGUUGGAUACAUCCUGGGGGACUGAGGAACGCAGCGUGCUUUUUGCGAAAGACUCGUCUUUUUCACGCUUAGGAUGCUGGUGGAAUGGCUUUAAACGACCCGUCUUGAAACACGGACCAAGGAGUCUAACAUGCUCGCGAGUAUUUGGGUGUCAAACCCGGAUGCGCAAUGAAAGUGAAUGUAGGUGGGAACCGCAAGGUGCACCAUCGACCGAUCUGGAUUUUUUAAGAUGGAUUUGAGUAAGAGCGCGUAUGUUGGGACCCGAAAGAUGGUGAACUAUGCCUGAAUAGGGCGAAGCCAGAGGAAACUCUGGUGGAGGCUCGUAGCGGUUCUGACGUGCAAAUCGAUCGUCAAAUUUGGGUAUAGGGGCGAAAGACUAAUCGAACCAUCUAGUAGCUGGUUCCUGCCGAAGUUUCCCUCAGGAUAGCAGAAACUCACAUCAGUUCUAUGAGGUAAAGCGAAUGAUUAGAGGCCUUGGGGUUGAAACAACCUUAACCUAUUCUCAAACUUUAAAUAUGUAGGAAGUCCUUGCUACUUAAUUGAGCGAGGACAUG